UACGUAGGGGGCAAGCGUUGUCCGGAUUUAUUGGGCGUAAAGAGCGUGUAGGCGGCCUUACAGGUCAGCUGUGAAAACUCGAGGCUCAACCUCGAGACGUCGGUUGAAACCGUAUGGCUAGAGUCCGGAAGAGGAGAGUGGAAUUCCCGGUGUAGCGGUGAAAUGCGCAGAUAUCGGGAAGAACACCCGUGGCGAAGGCGGUUACCUGGAGCUUUGCUGACGCUGAUGCGCGAAAGCGUGGGGAGCGAUCCGG
This 253-nucleotide ribosomal RNA is filed under the name uncultured bacterium. RNAcentral describes it as "partial 16S ribosomal RNA". It matches the Rfam family "Bacterial small subunit ribosomal RNA", at positions 524 to 776 of the family's 1533-position model. The record is from RNAcentral.